UCGGGAAUUUUGGGCAAUGGGGGAAACCCUGACCCAGCAACGCCGCGUGAAGGAUGAAGUAUUUCGGUAUGUAAACUUCGAAAGAAUAGGAAGAAUAAAUGACGGUACUAUUUAUAAGGUCCGGCUAACUACGUGCCAGCAGCCGCGGUAAUACGUAGGGACCAAGCGUUGUUCGGAUUUACUGGGCGUAAAGGGCGCGUAGGCGGCAUGACAAGUCACUUGUGAAAUCUCUGGGCUUAACCCAGAACGGCCAAGUGAUACUGUCGCGCUAGAGUGCAGAAGGGGCAAUCGGAAUUCUUGGUGUAGCGGUGAAAUGCGUAGAUAUCAAGAGGAACACCUGAGGUGAAGACGGGUUGCUGGGCUGACACUGACGCUGAGGCGCGAAAGCC
Molecule: ribosomal RNA, 389 nt
Filed under: uncultured bacterium
Lineage: Bacteria
Description: bacterial SSU rRNA
Rfam family: Bacterial small subunit ribosomal RNA
Source: RNAcentral